Molecule: ribosomal RNA, 2754 nt
Filed under: Triticum aestivum (bread wheat)
Lineage: Eukaryota; Viridiplantae; Streptophyta; Magnoliopsida; Poales; Poaceae
Description: partial small subunit ribosomal RNA
Source: RNAcentral
AUGCAUGAUGUUAUUCGCUCAUUUGCUCAGUAUAUGAUAAAAGAUGAAGCACUCAUAGUUCAUGAUGGAGACAUCGAUAAUCUAACUAAACUUCAUUCACAAAAGUUUCUUCGGUUAUCAAUAGAAACCAACCGCUUGCAGUCUGGUGAUAUUGACUGGAAAUCUUUACAGGAGCAGAAAUCAGUGAGAACAUUAAUCUCAACUAUUCAGAUCAAGAUGAAGCCCAGUGAUUUAUUGGUUACUUUUUCUGGUCUACGGAUUCUACAUAUAGAAUCUGUAGAUGUGGCUGCAUUGGUUGAAUCGUUGCACCAGCUGAAGCACCUGAGAUAUGUGGCACUAUUAAAUACUGAUAUAUCUGUACUUCCGGUGAACUUUGACAAGAUGAAAUUAUUGCAAUUCCUUAGGCUUGAUGGAUGUAAAAAUUUACUGAAUCUUCCUGAUAGCAUUGUGAAGCUUGGCCAGCUGAGGUUACUUGAUCUUCCCAGCAGAUGUAUGAUACCUAGAGGGUUCUGUGGUCUGACAAAUAUGAGAAGACUACAUGGGUUUCGGGCCCACAUGGAUGGUGAUUGGUGCAGUUUGGACGAGUUGGGGCCUCUUUCCCAACUCAGAUUUCUUGAAUUAAUACAUUUGGAGAAUGUAUCUGCUGCUUCAUUUGCUGCAAAUGCUAGGCUUGGUGAGAAAAUACAUCUUAUCGACGUAUUCUUGUACUGCACUAGCAAACUAGGAGAUGAUGGGUUGGUCAAAGAAAAAGAAGGUGUCUCCGAGGAAGAGCAACAACAAAUCGAGAAGGUGUUCGAUGAGCUCUAUCCUCCACCCAGUGUAGAAUUUAUUCAUAUCGAUGGGUAUUUUGGCCAGCUACUCCCGAGUUGGAUGAUGUCCACGUCAAAGGUGUCCCUGAACAACUUAAAGUUUCUCACAUUUUCUGACCUAGCUUGUUGCAAACAACUUCCCAAUGGAUUGUGUCAGCUCCCCUACCUGCAGUUCUUUCAGGUCGCCCGUGCUCCAUGCAUCAGGCGUGUUGGGACUAGAUUCUUGCAGGCCGUGGCAACUCCAUUUCCGAGUUUAAAAGAGAUGAGCUUUAGAGAAAUGGUGGAAUGGGAGGAGUGGGAAUGGGAGGAGCAAGUACAAGCCAUGCCCCGUUUGGAGAAGCUUUGGCUCAUUAAUUGCAAACUGAGGCGUGCUCCUCCUGGCCUUGCCUCCAAUGCAAUGGCUUUGAAAGUUUUAUACGUACAUGAUGUCCAACACCUCAGCUACCUUGAGAACUUUCCUUCUGUCAUUGAGCUUACAGUGGUUAGAAGCCUCGACCUUGAGAGGAUCACCAAUCUCCCCAAUCUGCAGAAGCUUACCAUCACCAUUUGCCCAAAGUUGAAGGUGCUGGGGAGUAUCCCUGCACUCGACAGGUUGGUCCUAGAGGAUUACACCAUGGAAACACUUCCAGAAUACAUGCGAGGUAUAAAGCCAAAGCAUUUUCAGUUAUUCUGCCGGCCAUGGUUGCUCUCUUCGGUAGCCAUGGGACAAUCUGGUCCUGAGUGGGACAAGUUCAGCCAUGUGGAGCAUGUCAAGGCAUAUUCGCCUGAUGGAGACAACCAAAGGAAAUGGUACGUGUUGUACACAAGAAGAGACAACUUCAAGUUGGAUUCAAAUAUUAGCUGCUCUUCCGUAUUUGAAGGAACCUUAUCAUCUUGUAUGGUGGAUGCACAAGGAUUUGAGUCUGUGUACAAAAUGAGAAGAAGUACCUUUAAUUACAUCUGCAGCUUGGUGAGGGUGCCCUUUUUCGAAGAUAUGAUGGCAACGGAUCACACGUUUGUUGAUGGAGGAGCAUUGUCUUUACAAGAUCGAGUAGCUCUCGCUCUGGUAAUGCUGAACUCUGGCAAGCCACCGGUUACUGUAGGAUCCUCUCUUGGUGUGAACGAGUCAACUGUCUCACUGGUAACUCAGGUGUUUGUUGAAGCUAUGUGGGAGCGAGCCUUGCACCACUUCAGCUGGCCUGGCUCCGCUAGAAUGGAGAUGAUCAAGCGCAAGUUUGACAGGAUCCACGGCCUGCCAAAUUGUUGUGGUGUUGUACAUACAACCCACAUCAAAUUUGGAUCACAAAAUUGUGACCAUGAAGAGUAUGCCGACACGCUAAUGCAAGCUGUCGUUGAUCCAGAUAUGAGGUUCACAAACACCCGCUUCAGGCUGUCAGGUAGCAUGAUGAACCAAUUGGGCGUUUUGCAUGACUCAGAUCUCUUCAAGAUGGGCGAGGAUGGUUCUUGCCUGAAUGGCAGUAAGCUGAAGUUAUCAGAUGGCUCGGAUGUCGGGGAAUACAUCAUUGGUGCUGCAGGAUAUCCUCUCCGUCCCUGGUUACUCACACCUUACCAUGACCUCUCAGACACGGAUUCCAAACUUGAGUUCGAUAGGAGAAUACACUCUGCAACUACAGCUGUCGCACUGAGGGCGCUGGCAAGGUUGAAAGGCACAUGGAAAUGCCUGCAGGGAGAAGGGUGGCAUCCAAAUGAUCAACGCGACGUGUUCUUGACCAUCCACACGUGCUGCAUGUUGCAUAACAUUGUGAUAGACAUGGAGGAGGAGGAGGAGGUGGGUGCAGGCAUGCCGAGCGAUCAGGAGGAUAAUUACAUCGAGCAAGUGCGGCGGGUAGCAGAUGAGGACGCCAUCGGUGUGAGGGAUGCACUAUCCCAGCAUUUGAUUGCAUCUGGAGAGGAGGAACAAGAAGCAGUAGUUGCAUCUGGCCCAGGAGAUGAAAACAAGGAAUAA